RNA transcript from Lotus japonicus, 1877 nucleotides. It is a transcript of the gene named LEC14B homolog, with no coding region annotated. The record is from RefSeq and is a predicted model, not a curated record. The transcript has 12 exons. NCBI's taxonomy places the organism in Eukaryota, Viridiplantae, Streptophyta, Magnoliopsida, Fabales, Fabaceae.
CUUUGACAAAACUUCAAUCCAUACUUCACUCAUCAAUUUCCUCACACAACAGACAACACAGACACACACAUUCGCUGACUAUAAACAUACAUGCAUACAUACAUAGUUGUGGUCGAAAAUCCCAACCUGGUCUCUGUUCCUUGAUCCCCCACAGCUUCAUUCUCCAAUCAGAGGAUAUAGAGAAAGUAAGAAGCUAAGAAUAGAUUAUGAGUCGGUCGCGCAAAGAUACGAGUAACUGUGGGGAUGGUAGUAGCAGCAAUGAAUCUCGUGAAGCUGGAGAAGGGACAAGUGAUCUUGAUCAUGAAAUUGCACAGCUCACAAAACUUGGGUCAAGUCCCCAUGAGCAUUUGGGUCGUGUUGGUCCCGGUAGGAUGAAGCUACCUGCAUCAACUGUGAGAAUGUUAGCGGGUAGAGAAGGUAAUUAUUCUGGACGGGGGAGGUUUUCAGCAGCAGAUGGAUGCCAUGUGUUAAGCCGCUAUUUGCCGACGAAAGGUCCUUGGAUUGUGGAUCGGAUGAAAAGCCGUGCCUAUAUUUCGCAAUUUUCAGAUGAUGGUUCUCUUUUUAUUGCUGGAUUCCAGGGAAGCCACAUCAGGAUAUAUGAUGUUGACAAGGGGUGGAAAGUUAAGAAGGAGAUCUCCGCUAGAAACUUACGGUGGACAAUUACUGAUACUUCUCUCUCACCAGAUCGACAAUAUCUUGUUUAUGCUAGUAUGUCACCAAUUAUCAAUAUUGUCAAUGUGGAAUCUGCCACAACAGAGUCAGUAGCAAAUGUUACAGAAAUUCAUCAUGGAUUAAAUUUCUCUUCUGAUGAGGAUGGGGAUGAAUUUGGGAUUUUCUGUAUCAAAUUUUCAACAGAUGGGCGGGAGCUUUUGGCUGGAACUAGUGAUAGCUCGAUAUAUGUAUAUGAUCUCGGAGCAGAUAAGCUUAGCCUUAGAAUUCCUGCUCACCUGUCUGAUGUUAACACUGUCUGCUUUGCUGAUGAAUCUGGACAUAUCUUAUAUUCUGGAAGUGAUGAUAGUUUCUGCAAGGUGUGGGAUAGGCGUUGCUUUGUCUCAAAAGGACAACCAGCUGGUAUCUUAAUGGGACAUUUAGAAGGCAUUACAUUCAUUAAUAGUCGUGGGGAUGGCCGCUACUUAAUAUCUAAUGGAAAGGAUCAAACAACCAAAUUAUGGGACAUAAGGAAGAUGACUUCGUCUUCUAAUGCCGUAAACAGUAUGGGCCUUGGAGAUGACGAGUGGGACUACCGGUGGAUGGACUACCCUGAAUAUGCAAGAAAAAGAAAGCAUCCUCAUGACCAGUCAUUGUCAACAUACAAAGGCCACUCAGUGUUGCGCACUCUAGUUCGCUGUUAUUUCUCACCAUCAUAUAGCACUGGUCAAAAAUACAUUUACACCGGGUCCAGUGAUUCUUCUGUCUUCAUAUAUGACCUGGUGACUGGAGCUCAAGUUGCAAAACUUGAUCAUCAUGAGGCACCUGUUCGAGAUUGUAGCUGGCAUCCUUACUAUCCAAUGAUGAUCUCUUCAGCCUGGGACGGUGACAUAGUUAGGUGGGAAUUUCCUGGAAGUGAUGAAGCCCCUGCUCCUCGAAACAGAAGAGCCGGUCGAAAUCGCAUAAUUAGAGAAUUUAGGUGGAGCCUGGAGUGAGGUAUGUUGGCAUAUGGUGCAUUGGUGAGAGAAGAUAAACAACCUGCAAUACAAGUGCUCGUGUGUGCCUUGAAGAUUAUGAUUGCAGCAUGCUCUUGGAUGACCUUUCUAUUCCAAAACAAAGGGUGAAAGUGCAUUCUCCAUGAGACUGAUUGGCCAUUGCUUUCUUCAACUCAUAAUUUCCUAUUAUAAACUCCAUUCUCAGAUUAUUUAUACUUAGUUUUUUUUGGUCAA